CCGGCACGGGUGAGUAACACGUAUGCAAUCCACCUGUAACAGGGGGAGUAACCCGGAGAAAUCCGGACUAAUACCCCAUAAUAUGGGCGCUCCGCAUGGAGAGCCCAUUAAAGAGAGCAAUUUUGGUUACAGACGAGCAUGCGCUCCAUUAGCCAGUUGGCGGGGUAACGGCCCACCAAAGCGACGAUGGAUAGGGGUCCUGAGAGGAAGGUCCCCCACAUUGGAACUGAGACACGGUCCAA
This 242-nucleotide ribosomal RNA is filed under the name uncultured bacterium. RNAcentral describes it as "partial 16S ribosomal RNA". It matches the Rfam family "Bacterial small subunit ribosomal RNA", at positions 100 to 334 of the family's 1533-position model. The record is from RNAcentral.